RNAcentral lists this ribosomal RNA (253 nucleotides) under uncultured bacterium. Its description in RNAcentral is "partial 16S ribosomal RNA". It matches the Rfam family "Bacterial small subunit ribosomal RNA", at positions 524 to 776 of the family's 1533-position model. The record is from RNAcentral.
UACGUAGGGGGCAAGCGUUAUCCGGAUUUACUGGGUGUAAAGGGAGCGUAGACGGCCAGACAAGUCUGAAGUGAAAAUCCAGCGCUUAACGUUGGAUGUGCUUUGGAAACUGCCGGGCUAGAGUGCAGGAGGGGCAGGCGGAAUUCCUAGUGUAGCGGUGAAAUGCGUAGAUAUUAGGAGGAACACCAGUGGCGAAGGCGGCCUGCUGGACUGCAACUGACGUUGAGGCUCGAAAGUGUGGGGAGCAAACAGG